GUCAAGCAGAAUUGAAGAAGGUGGUGGGAUUGUCAUUUAUUUCCAACCCCCGAUUCAGCAAACAGUUGGUUUCUGCGGUCAAUGUCAAUGAACAAGGCCCCUGGUUGAAAAGACUGAAAUAAGUGAUGAACUGACACAAAAUUAAAAACCAAGGAGCUGUUGGCACAGAGUCCCCAUCUCGACUUGCCAAUCCAUUCUGUGAAAGCAGAGAACUGGGAUCUUGUAAAAUCAUGGAAGGAAGAAAAGCUGCAACCAAAGUGGACUGGACCCUACCUUGCGUUAUUAAUCACCGAGACAGCAGUACGAACAAAAGAAAAAGGGUGGACACACGCAAACCGAUUUAAGGGUCCUGUGGAGGCCCCACCGGACAAUAUCAGCCCGUAGACUGUGCGUGAAGGGAAGGAACCAUUGACUUUGUGCCUAUUCGGAUGUUGUAUUAUUCCCUGCGCUGGCCUUCAGAACACAGUAUGACUAGCGAGAGGAGGAUAGGGAGGCGAAGAAUCUGCUGCUAGCACUAGAAAAGGAAGAUAUAGUAUAAUUCAAAAGAUGCGUAGCAAAAAGAAAAAUGGUGGAUUGUGAGAGAAGGGUUAAUAGGGAUGGUUGAAUUAUACUAGAACUCUGAAAAAUAUAACUUAGAAAGAAAUGAGCUUAUCCGCAGAAGCCAGACUGCUGGUAGAAUAAAGUAACAAUAUACAGAACAGAGAGAAAUUCUAGAUAAAAAGUAGCAAACAGAUAACAACUUCAGCAGAAGGCCUUGGGAGUCUUGACGUCAGGAAAUGGUCCGAGACAUUCCUGGACUUUCUCGUGUGAAUGUGGGCUUUAUGUUAUGAUUGGACGAAACUCGAUGGGGAGACCUGAGGUAGUGACCACAGUGAAGAAGGGUAUAAAGAUAGAAAGCAUCUCCAUUUUCUUUGUGCCUCCAGGGGACAUCAGAGGAGAGACACCUAUUCUGCAGAAUAUGAAAUUAAUAAAAACACUUCUUUGUCUGAA
Leucoraja erinaceus (little skate) is the source of this 990-nucleotide long non-coding RNA. RefSeq lists it as uncharacterized. Lineage: Eukaryota; Metazoa; Chordata; Chondrichthyes; Rajiformes; Rajidae. The transcript is spliced from 2 exons. The record is from RefSeq and is a predicted model, not a curated record.